CUUCCCUGGAUGACUCGUAUUUUGACCCCUGCUGACUACGGGGUCAUGCUGCUCAUCAGUAACGGUGCCGCGUUGAUCAAUUUAUUGUUCGGCUUCGGUUUGGCACAGGCAUUGCCAACACUAUUCAGCAAUGCUGAAAUGGACAGUUCCCGCCGUGCUGUCAGCACUACAAUUAUCCUGUCGAUCGGCGGCAUACUUUCUGCUUUGUACCUAGCGACCGCACUGCUUUC
This 230-nucleotide unclassified non-coding RNA is filed under the name Hevea brasiliensis (rubber tree). Lineage: Eukaryota; Viridiplantae; Streptophyta; Magnoliopsida; Malpighiales; Euphorbiaceae. The record is from RNAcentral.